RNAcentral lists this ribosomal RNA (433 nucleotides) under uncultured bacterium. RNAcentral's name for it is "partial 16S ribosomal RNA". It matches the Rfam family "Bacterial small subunit ribosomal RNA", at positions 29 to 507 of the family's 1533-position model. The record is from RNAcentral.
AACGAACGCUGGCGGCAUGCCUAACACAUGCAAGUCGAACGAGACCUUCGGGUCUAGUGGCGCACGGGUGCGUCACGCGUGGGAACCUGCCCUUAGGUUCGGAAUAACUCCCCGAAAGGGGUGCUAAUACCGGAUAAUUUCUUCGGACCAAAGAUUUAUCGCCUUUGGAUGGGCCCGCGUUGGAUUAGCUAGUUGGUAGGGUAAAAGCCUACCAAGGCGACGAUCCAUAGCUGGUCUGAGAGGAUGAUCAGCCACACUGGGACUGAGACACGGCCCAGACUCCUACGGGAGGCAGCAGUGGGGAAUAUUGGACAAUGGGCGAAAGCCUGAACCAGCAAUGCCGCGUGAGUGAUGAAGGCCGUAGGGUUGUAAAGCUCUUUUACCCGGGAUGAUAAUGACAGUACCGGGAGAAUAAGCUCCGGCUAACUCCGUG